This is a long non-coding RNA of Pristis pectinata (smalltooth sawfish), 509 nucleotides long. RefSeq lists it as uncharacterized. The transcript is spliced from 5 exons. Lineage: Eukaryota; Metazoa; Chordata; Chondrichthyes; Rhinopristiformes; Pristidae. The record is from RefSeq and is a predicted model, not a curated record.
UCAGUGCAUUUAUAUUUCCUUCCAGGCUUUCUGCCUUGCUCUCUAAGUAUUAUUGGCCCACCAUAUCAAAGAGCAUGUGAGUACAGUGUCUGGCCCACCAUUUAGAUGUUGGCCCUUUGGAAGAAAUAUUCUUUCAUCUUUCUCUACAGCCCUGAAGAUCUGCCUUUCUUGAAGUGCUUAUCCAACUCACUUCUAUCUACAGGAUAUCUUUCUUCAAUAAUUGUAGGGACAAGGAUACCAUAAUGAAAUUCAGCAGAAAACAUAUUAUGGAGACGCAAGAGACUGUAGAUACCAUCCUCAAGUAUGACUUCAAUUCAGAUGCUGCCUGGCCUGCUGAGUUCCUCCAGCAUCACCAAGUAUGCUUUGAGAGUCGGCAUGGACUUGCUGGGCUGAAUGGCCUCCUUCUAUGUUAAAUGCUAUGUCCCAAGAUAGACAGAAGCAGGAAAGAGAGCCAAUCAGUGAAGUCAGAACAAAAGCAGAGGAAAUGGGAGCUUCAAUUCUGUUCUUCA